AUUGAACGCUGGCGGCAGGCCUAACACAUGCAAGUCGGACGGUAGCACAGAGAGCUUGCUCUCGGGUGACGAGUGGCGGACGGGUGAGUAAUGUCUGGGGAUCUGCCCGAUAGAGGGGGAUAACCACUGGAAACGGUGGCUAAUACCGCAUAACGUCGCAAGACCAAAGAGGGGGACCUUCGGGCCUCUCACUAUCGGAUGAACCCAGAUGGGAUUAGCUAGUAGGCGGGGUAACGGCCCACCUAGGCGACGAUCCCUAGCUGGUCUGAGAGGAUGACCAGCCACACUGGAACUGAGACACGGUCCAGACUCCUACGGGAGGCAGCAGUGGGGAAUAUUGCACAAUGGGCGCAAGCCUGAUGCAGCCAUGCCGCGUGUAUGAAGAAGGCCUUCGGGUUGUAAAGUACUUUCAGUGGGGAGGAGGUUUUGUUGGUUAAGAGCUGAUGAGAUGGACGUUACCCACAGAAGAAGCACCGGCUAACUCCGUGCCAGCAGCCGCCGUAA
Molecule: ribosomal RNA, 504 nt
Filed under: uncultured bacterium
Lineage: Bacteria
Description: partial 16S ribosomal RNA
Rfam family: Bacterial small subunit ribosomal RNA
Source: RNAcentral